Molecule: ribosomal RNA, 484 nt
Filed under: uncultured bacterium
Lineage: Bacteria
Description: partial 16S ribosomal RNA
Rfam family: Bacterial small subunit ribosomal RNA
Source: RNAcentral
AUUGAACGCUGGCGGCAGGCCUAACACAUGCAAGUCGAGCGGAUGAAGGGAGCUUGCUCCUGGAUUCAGCGUCGGACGGGUGAGUAAUGCCUAGGAAUCUGCCUGGUAGCGGGGGAUAACGUCCGGAAACGGGCGCUAAUACCGCAUACGUCCUGAGGGAGAAAGUGGGGGAUCUUCGGACCUCACGCUAUCAGAUGAGCCUAGGUCGGAUUAGCUAGUUGGUGGGGUAAAGGCCUACCAAGGCGACGAUCCGUAACUGGUCUGAGAGGAUGAUCAGUCACACUGGAACUGAGACACGGUCCAGACUCCUACGGGAGGCAGCAGUGGGGAAUAUUGGACAAUGGGCGAAAGCCUGAUCCAGCCAGGCCGCGUGUGUGAAGAAGGUCUUCGGAUUGUAAAGCACUUUAAGUUGGGAGGAAGGGCAGUAAGUUAAUACCUUGCUGUUUUGACGUUACCAACAGAAUAAGCACCGGCUAACUUCGUG